RNAcentral lists this transfer RNA (72 nucleotides) under Pangasianodon gigas (Mekong giant catfish). RNAcentral's name for it is "tRNA-Glu". It matches the Rfam family "tRNA". From Rfam's summary of the family: Transfer RNA (tRNA) molecules are approximately 80 nucleotides in length. Their secondary structure includes four short double-helical elements and three loops (D, anti-codon, and T loops). Further hydrogen bonds mediate the characteristic L-shaped molecular structure. tRNAs have two regions of fundamental functional importance: the anti-codon, which is responsible for specific mRNA codon recognition, and the 3' end, to which the tRNAs corresponding amino acid is attached (by aminoacyl-tRNA synthetases). tRNAs cope with the degeneracy of the genetic code in two manners: having more than one tRNA (with a specific anti-codon) for a particular amino acid; and 'wobble' base-pairing, i.e. permitting non-standard base-pairing at the 3rd anti-codon position. The record is from RNAcentral. Lineage: Eukaryota; Metazoa; Chordata; Actinopteri; Siluriformes; Pangasiidae.
UCCCUAGAGGACCAGUGGUUAGGCCACAGUGCUCUCACCGCUGCAGCCUGGGUUUGAUUCCUGGCUAGGGAA